Long non-coding RNA from Anthonomus grandis grandis, 493 nucleotides. RefSeq lists it as uncharacterized. Lineage: Eukaryota; Metazoa; Arthropoda; Insecta; Coleoptera; Curculionidae. The record is from RefSeq and is a predicted model, not a curated record. The transcript is spliced from 2 exons.
GUAGAUUUCCCUUUGUUUUUCUAGCUUUUUUUUUUCUCAGCGAAUAAUGCAGUUGUAGCUGUAAUAAGGUGCAGCAAGACGGUGCACCACCACACUUCUCCAGGGUCGCAAGAGAUUCCUUAGAUAUUACUUUUGGAAACAGAUGGAUAGGGCGAGCAGGUCCAAUCGAGUGGGCACCUUAUUCUCCCGAUCUAACCAUUCCAGAUUUUUGUAUAUGGGGAUAUGUAAAAGACCGUUGCUACAAUACAACCCCAAGAAAUUUGGAUGAACUGCGCUACAACAUAGUAAACGUUUUCAACCAAAUUACACCGCGAAUGCUAUAAAACGCCUUCGGCAACUUAUUUCUCCGUCCACAUUUGUGUUCCGAGCAAAAUGGGGGUCAUAUUCAGCAACUAAUUUAUUAGUUAUAAAUUAAAAUUAAUUUCUUCAAUUGUUUGUUGUUAAAAUUGUUGUAAAUAGUUGUUUUUAAUACAUAGAAUAAAUACUUUUUAUA